This 255-nucleotide ribosomal RNA is filed under the name Escherichia coli. Its description in RNAcentral is "partial 23S ribosomal RNA". It matches the Rfam family "Bacterial large subunit ribosomal RNA", at positions 1466 to 1718 of the family's 2925-position model. The record is from RNAcentral. Lineage: Bacteria; Pseudomonadati; Pseudomonadota; Gammaproteobacteria; Enterobacterales; Enterobacteriaceae.
GGGGGGACGGAGAAGGCUAUGUUGGCCGGGCGACGGUUGUCCCGGAUUAAGCGUGUAGGCUGGUUUUCCAGGCAAAUCCGGAAAACCAAGGCUGAGGCGUGAUGACGAGGCACUACGGUGCUGAAGCGACAAAUGCCCUGCUUCCAGGAAAAGCCUCUAAGCAUCAGGUAACAUCAAAUCGUACCCCAAACCGACACAGGUGGUCAGGUAGAGAAUACCAAGGCGCUUGAGAGAACUCGGGUGAAGGAACUAGGC